RNAcentral lists this ribosomal RNA (585 nucleotides) under uncultured bacterium. RNAcentral's name for it is "partial 16S ribosomal RNA". It matches the Rfam family "Bacterial small subunit ribosomal RNA", at positions 355 to 1375 of the family's 1533-position model. The record is from RNAcentral.
UGGGGAAUAUUGGACAAUGGGCGAAAGCCUGAUCCAGCAAUGCCGCGUGUGUGAAGAAGGCCUUCGGGUUGUAAAGCACUUUUGUCCGGAAAGAAAUCCUUGGCUCUAAUACAGUCGGGGGAUGACGGUACCGGAAGAAUAAGCACCGGCUAACUACGUGCCAGCAGCCGCGGUAAUACGUAGGGUGCAAGCGUUAAUCGGAAUUACUGGGCGUAAAGCGUGCGCAGGCGGUUUGCUAAGACCGAUGUGAAAUCCCCGGGCUCAACCUGGGAACUGCAUUGGUGACUGGCAGGCUAGAGUAUGGCAGAGGGGGGUAGAAUUCCACGUGUAGCAGUGAAAUGCGUAGAGAUGUGGAGGAAUACCGAUGGCGAAGGCAGCCCCCUGGGCCAAUACUGACGCUCAUGCACGAAAGCGUGGGGAGCAAACAGGAUUAGAUACCCUGGUAGUCCACGCCCUAAACGAUGUCAACUAGUUGUUGGGGAUUCAUUUCCUUAGUAACGUAGCUAACGCGUGAAGUUGACCGCCUGGGGAGUACGGUCGCAAGAUUAAAACUCAAAGGAAUUGACGGGGUCAUAGCUGUUUCCU